RNAcentral lists this ribosomal RNA (484 nucleotides) under uncultured bacterium. RNAcentral's name for it is "partial 16S ribosomal RNA". It matches the Rfam family "Bacterial small subunit ribosomal RNA", at positions 29 to 507 of the family's 1533-position model. The record is from RNAcentral.
AGUGAACGCUGGCAGCAGGCCUAACACAUGCAAGUCGAGCGGCAGCGCGGGGGCAACCCUGGCGGCGAGCGGCGGACGGGUGAGGAAUUCGUCGGAAUCUGCCUUUUUGUGGGGGAUAACGUAGGGAAACUUACGCUAAUACCGCAUACGUCCUACGGGAGAAAGUGGGGGACCGCAAGGCCUCACGCAGAAAGAUGAGCCGACGACCGAUUAGCUAGUUGGUGGGGUAAAGGCCCACCAAGGCGACGAUCGGUAGCUGGUCUGAGAGGAUGAUCAGCCACACUGGGACUGAGACACGGCCCAGACUCCUACGGGAGGCAGCAGUGGGGAAUAUUGGACAAUGGGCACAAGCCUGAUCCAGCCAUGCCGCGUGUGUGAAGAAGGCCUUCGGGUUGUAAAGCACUUUUGUCCGGAAAGAAAUCCCUGGAGCUAAUACCUUCGGGGGAUGACGGUACCGGAAGAAUAAGCACCGGCUAACUUCGUG